This 247-nucleotide ribosomal RNA is filed under the name uncultured bacterium. RNAcentral describes it as "partial 16S ribosomal RNA". It matches the Rfam family "Bacterial small subunit ribosomal RNA", at positions 86 to 334 of the family's 1533-position model. The record is from RNAcentral.
AGAUGGCGACCGGCGCACGGGUGAGUAACACGUAUCCAACCUGCCGAUAACUCGGGGAUAGCCUUUCGAAAGAAAGAUUAAUACCCGAUGGUAUAAUCAGACCGCAUGGUUUGAUUAUUAAAGAAUUUCGGUUAUCGAUGGGGAUGCGUUCCAUUAGGCAGUUGGUGAGGUAACGGCUCACCAAACCUUCGAUGGAUAGGGGUUCUGAGAAGAAGGUCCCCCACAUUGGAACUGAGACACGGUCCAA